GAUGAAGAACGUAGCGAAUUGCGAUAUGUAAUGUGAAUUGCAGAUUUUCAGUGAAUCAUCGAAUCUUUGAACGCACAUUGCGCCCCUUGGUAUCCCGAGGGGCAUGCCUGUUCGAGCGUCAUUUCACCACUCAAGCCUGGCUUGGUGUUGGGCGACGUCCCCUUUGGGGACGCGCCUCGAAACGCUCGGCGGCGUGGCACCGGCUUUAAGCGUAGCAGAAUCUUUCGCUUUGGAAGUCGGGGCCCCGUCUGCCGGAAGACCUACUCGCAAGGUUGACCUCGGAUCAGGCAGGGAUACCCGCUGAACUUAAGCAUAUCAAUAAGCGGAGGA
This 330-nucleotide unclassified non-coding RNA is filed under the name soil metagenome. RNAcentral's name for it is "partial contains 5.8S ribosomal RNA, internal transcribed spacer 2, and large subunit ribosomal RNA". The stretch from base 1 to 121 matches the Rfam family "5.8S ribosomal RNA", at positions 35 to 154 of the family's 154-position model. The record is from RNAcentral.